RNAcentral lists this ribosomal RNA (207 nucleotides) under uncultured bacterium. RNAcentral's name for it is "partial 16S ribosomal RNA". It matches the Rfam family "Bacterial small subunit ribosomal RNA", at positions 568 to 774 of the family's 1533-position model. The record is from RNAcentral.
UGCGCAGGCGGUGAUGUAAGACAGAUGUGAAAUCCCCGGGCUCAACCUGGGAACUGCAUUUGUGACUGCAUCGCUGGAGUGCGGCAGAGGGGGAUGGAAUUCCGCGUGUAGCAGUGAAAUGCGUAGAUAUGCGGAGGAACACCGAUGGCGAAGGCAAUCCCCUGGGCCUGCACUGACGCUCAUGCACGAAAACGUGGGGAGCAAACA